GGAAGAGAAUUCACCAGAUUAAUAACUCAUGUAAAAACAUGCAGAUAUAGACCAAUCAAAUGUCCAAACAAAUCUUGCCCGCAUUUCCUCGCGAAAUGGUGUCUCGAUAAUCAUAUUGAGGAAUGUACUUUUACGUUGAUAACUUGUCCAUCAGUUGGAUGUGGGGAGAAAAUCAUAAGAUGCCAAAUAGAACAACACUUGUUUAAAUGUCAACAUCGCUCCAUUCUUUGCCAGAAUCACCAUUUUGAAUGCGAUCAACGACUUACAGGAAAAGAUUCAGAAAUUGAUUUGUUUGCUUCAUUAUUUUGCAAUAAAUGUGGCCAAGCGAUAAUGAAAAAAGACAUAAAUGAACAUGAAAAGUAUUGUGCGAAGUCUAAAACAAAAAGGAAGCUUUGUAAAAAGACAGUGCUUCGUGAAGAAGAACUUUUUCACUUAGACGCUUGUUUCAAGGCUGAAGUCUUGUUUCAAUGUCCAAACAUUGGUUGUGGUUUAACAAAUGAAAGAAACAAAAUUUUAGAACACAAGUCAAUCUGCUCACAUGCAAGUAUCGAUUGUCUAAAUUUUGAAAGUGGAUGCAAAACCGGAGAUAAACGAACGAAUAUGCAAAUUCAUACAGCAAAGUGUCCAUUGAGAACUGACAAAUUUGAAGACCAGAAAAGGGUAUUCAUGGAACAAGAUCACACUCCUCCAGUAGAGCAACCUGGUUCACAUUUACCGUUUCGUUCAGUGCAUUCUCCUCCGCAUGAACAGCUAAAAGAAA
Mytilus californianus (California mussel) is the source of this 760-nucleotide long non-coding RNA. RefSeq lists it as uncharacterized. The transcript is spliced from 2 exons. Lineage: Eukaryota; Metazoa; Mollusca; Bivalvia; Mytilida; Mytilidae. The record is from RefSeq and is a predicted model, not a curated record.